Onychostoma macrolepis is the source of this 2237-nucleotide long non-coding RNA. RefSeq lists it as uncharacterized. The transcript has 5 exons. The record is from RefSeq and is a predicted model, not a curated record. NCBI's taxonomy places the organism in Eukaryota, Metazoa, Chordata, Actinopteri, Cypriniformes, Cyprinidae.
GCUGACAGGAAGAUGUCGUCAUCUCUAACCGUCACUCACACCACAGAUCUCAAGCAAGUGCAAAGGCAGCGAGGGGUGGUGUGAUGUCAUUUGCAACAAGACGGCUGAUACUAAUAUGGGCCUAAAAUAAAGGACAAUAAUGGCAUCAGCCAUUCAAGUUAUGAUCCUGGCAGAUCUGCUACUAUCUGAAAAGUAGUCUCUGAAGAUUUUUUCAAGAUACACAAGAUGGAGCGUGGAGAGACAGGACAUGGACCACAGUUUUUCAGCACCCACACCCCACACUCAAAUUCAUAUGGAAGUUCUCAAUUAUUAAAUGUUAAUAUGAUAGUUUAUAUUUAGCUGUGAAGUUAUAGUUCAUUGUCAUAAAUAUUAAACUACAUAUUAUUAUUUUACAUGAACUUGCUCGUAUCUGGAAGGUUGUGUUAAUAAAAAUGAUGUUGAAAGUAGGGAUGUGCGCUACGACUAAUUUGACUGUCGUUUAAACUGAAGUUUUGUAUCCGACUAGUCUAAAAACUAGAAACCCCCCAAAAAUGGCAAAAGAUUAAAAAAACUGUGCGUGUAUAACAGCCUACACUUGAAAUACUUAAUCUUUGCAUCACACUGUCAAAUCCCUCAAUGAAAUCUGCUAAAAAUAGGUCACGAUUAUGCCGUAUGCUUGCCUCACGUUAUCAUCAUUUAAUUUUAGGCGGUCGGUCGUUAAACAGAAAAUAAGGAAGAGCAUACACUCAACAUAAACCAGUGCAUAGCUUAUUUAUUCAGAUCAGCUGGAACAAUGCAGAAAUGGAAAACAGACUGACAGAAUUCUUCAUUUUCAUAUAACGUUAGCCAACAUAUUAAAACACAAGUCAAAAACAAUAGGAAAGUUUAUCAAGGAAUAGCAUUAAAACGGCUUUUAAAAUGUAACAAAACAAUGCUUGUUUUACUUACUCACUCAGACCAUGCGCAGAGAGGUGAACUAUUAGAAUAGAGUACUCAUAAUGUAUAUAAGAUGAUAAUCAUGACAAAUUUUUCUUAAGGAUGCUUUAAGUUACUUAUCGUUUGUACACAGGUUUUUCCUCACAAUGAAGUACCAGUUUCUAAAGGGAAAGAUGAAUAGCAGGAUUGAUCAGCUUCUUCGCUUGCUGUGUGGUGAUGUACAGAAAUAUUACAGUUACCCGGAUGACCUGAAAGAAACUGGACGAAUCAAAGGACUGAACAGUGAUGAGACCAUUUAUGCUGCUCAGUCUAUGAUUGCAAAAGGCCUGGAUGCAAAAAUAGACAUGUCUAAAAAUGGUGUUUGGUUCCACCAGAUACAAGCACACAACCUCACACAGUUGACUUGGUGAUGCACAAAUGCAAUUGCAAAAGAUUCCAAUGCGGAUCUAUGUGCAAACACUUAAUUUUCUCACAGACAAUUGCAGAGAAACAAGGACUUGUGAUUCAAGACCUUAGGACAGAUGCAGCAAGAAAGAUUGUUGAUAGUCAAUCCUAUUUCACAGAUAAUGAAAACCUUAUCGUCUGGCACUUUGAUGGGAGCGUAGGAGUUGUAAGUCAUAAAGGGACAAGAUUUUGUACAUGCAAAUAGUUAUGGAGAGGUAUGUGUAUGUAUACUAGUUCACAACAUUCUCUACACAGCAUCUUGUGAGAGAAAUUCUUUACCUUUACACAGCCUAAUGUCCAGUGAGAAAAAAAGCGCUACACUGCAGGACAUGCUCACAGAUCUUCAUGAGUGGAGCCAAUCAGAAAAAUAUCAAGAGAAUAAGGAAGUGUACAAUUUAGUACAGACAGCACACAAAUUAGUUUUUUCACAGUUUAUUAAAGUGUCAAGGAAAAGGAAAACGACUGCACUUCCUGAGUAUCGUAAAAGGGUCAAAAAAGCAAAAGAUGCAGUCACUGUAAAUUACAGUCAAAAAGAAGAAAAAACAAGGUUGAUCUUGAAGUGACUUAAGAAACGUUUCAUUGUUGAAACAAUUACUUUGCCUAGCCAAAAAAAAAAAUGUUCUCACCUUGCAUCUACUUUUUUGUCAAUGAAUGUUGUACUUAUGCUUUGUAUAGAGUAAAAUGAAGGAACAAAUGUUGAUCAUAAACAAAUUACUAAAUAUUUUUAUUGAACACUUCAACAUUACAAUAAAAUAUGACUACUUUCCUAAAAAAAAUCUAGUGGAUUAUAUGCAUCUAAAACAUCAACAUAUAACAAAAUGGUACAGCAAAGAUGCAACAUUAAACUCCUGUACUUUAACUAGUACACAUCAUUCUUA